UCCACCGAUUGACUAAGGUUUCCAGAGGAAGGCUCGUCCGCUCUGGGUUAGUCGGGUCCUAAGCUGAGGCCGACAGGCGUAGGCGAUGGAUAACAGGUUGAUAUUCCUGUACCACCUAUAAUCGUUUUAAUCGAUGGGGGGACGCAGUAGGAUAGGCGAAGCGUGCGAUUGGAUUGCACGUCUAAGCAGUAAGGCUGAGUAUUAGGCAAAUCCGGUACUCGUUAAGGCUGAGCUGUGAUGGGGAGAAGACAUUGUGUCUUCGAGUCGUUGAUUUCACACUGCCGAGAAAAGCCUCUAGAUAGAAAAUAGGUGCCCGUACCGCAAACCGACACAGGUAGUCAAGAUGAGAAUUCUAAGGUGAGCGAGCGAACUCUCGUUAAGGAACUCGGCAAAAUGACCCCGUAACUUCGGGAGAAGGGGUGCUCUUUAGGGUUAACGCCCAGAAGAGCCGCAGUGAAUAGGCCCAAGCGACUGUUUAUCAAAAACACAGGUCUCUGCUAAACCGUAAGGUGAUGUAUAGGGGCUGACGCCUGCCCGGUGCUGGAAGGUUAAGAGGAGUGGUUAGCUUCUGCGAAGCUACGAAUCGAAGCCCCAGUAAACGGCGGCCGUAACUAUAACGGUCCUAAGGUAGCGAAAUUCCUUGUCGGGUAAGUUCCGACCCGCACGAAAGGCGUAACGAUUUGGGCACUGUCUCAACGAGAGACUCGGUGAAAUCAUAGUACCUGUGAAGAUGCAGGUUACCCGCGACAGGACGGAAAGACCCCGUGGAGCUUUACUGUAGCCUGAUAUUGAAAUUCGGCACAGCUUGUACAGGAUAGGUAGGAGCCUUUGAAACGUGAGCGCUAGCUUACGUGGAGGCGCUGGUGGGAUACUACCCUAGCUGUGUUGGCUUUCUAACCCGCACCACUUAUCGUGGUGGGAGACAGUGUCAGGCGGGCAGUUUGACUGGGGCGGUCGCCUCCUAAAAGGUAACGGAGGCGCUCAAAGGUUCCCUCAGAAUGGUUGGAAAUCAUUCAUAGAGUGUAAAGGCAUAAGGGAGCUUGACUGCGAGACCUACAAGUCGAGCAGGGUCGAAAGACGGACUUAGUGAUCCGGUGGUUCCGCAUGGAAGGGCCAUCGCUCAACGGAUAAAAGCUACCCCGGGGAUAACAGGCUUAUCUCCCCCAAGAGUUCACAUCGACGGGGAGGUUUGGCACCUCGAUGUCGGCUCAUCGCAUCCUGGGGCUGUAGUCGGUCCCAAGGGUUGGGCUGUUCGCCCAUUAAAGCGGUACGCGAGCUGGGUUCAGAACGUCGUGAGACAGUUCGGUCCCUAUCCGUCGUGGGCGUAGGAAAUUUGAGAGGAGCUGUCCUUAGUACGAGAGGACCGGGAUGGACAUACCUCUGGUGUACCAGUUGUCGUGCCAACGGCAUAGCUGGGUAGCUAUGUGUGGACGGGAUAAGUGCUGAAAGCA
RNAcentral lists this ribosomal RNA (1451 nucleotides) under Staphylococcus aureus. RNAcentral's name for it is "partial 23S ribosomal RNA". It matches the Rfam family "Bacterial large subunit ribosomal RNA", at positions 1333 to 2779 of the family's 2925-position model. Lineage: Bacteria; Bacillati; Bacillota; Bacilli; Caryophanales; Staphylococcaceae. The record is from RNAcentral.